RNAcentral lists this ribosomal RNA (468 nucleotides) under uncultured bacterium. Its description in RNAcentral is "partial 16S ribosomal RNA". It matches the Rfam family "Bacterial small subunit ribosomal RNA", at positions 28 to 507 of the family's 1533-position model. The record is from RNAcentral.
GACGAACGCUGGCGGCGUGCUUAACACAUGCAAGUCGAACGGAAAGGCCCUGCUUUUGUGGGGUGCUCGAGUGGCGAACGGGUGAGUAACACGUGAGUAACCUGCCCUUGACUUUGGGAUAACUUCAGGAAACUGGGGCUAAUACCGGAUAGGAGCUCCUGCUGCAUGGUGGGGGUUGGAAAGUUUCGGCGGUUGGGGAUGGACUCGCGGCUUAUCAGCUUGUUGGUGGGGUAGUGGCUUACCAAGGCUUUGACGGGUAGCCGGCCUGAGAGGGUGACCGGCCACAUUGGGACUGAGAGACGGACCAGACUCCUACGGGAGGCAGCAGUGGGGAAUAUGGCACAAUGGGCGGAAGCCUGAGGCAGCAACGCCGCGUGCGGGAUGACGGCCUUCGGGUUGUAAACCGAUUUCGCCUGUGACGAAGCGUGAGUGACGGUAAUGGGUAAAGAAGCACCGGCUAACUACGUG